CCUUCGAUAGCUCAGCUGGUAGAGCGGAGGACUGUAGAGGUGUUGUCCCUGCGGGAAUCCUUAGGUCGCUGGUUCGAUUCCGGCUCGAAGGA
Molecule: non-coding RNA, 92 nt
Organism: Colinus virginianus (northern bobwhite)
Lineage: Eukaryota; Metazoa; Chordata; Aves; Galliformes; Odontophoridae
Source: Rfam